AGCUUACGAGGUUUUUCGGCGCGCUGGGGUGAAAUGUCUGGGGCCCAGGCAGGGCGUGCUGGGACUUGGGGCUGCGGCGGCCCCGAGGGCUCUGUCGUACGGACUUCUCCGCCCGCUGCCUAGUACUCGUGGGCUAUGGACCCACCCGCCCAGGCGGGCCUGAAACCUUGGGGCCACCCCUUGGCAGGUUCCCUGUAUUUGAACCGUCUUCAUCACAAUUUUCAAGCUGUCAGCUUUCCCAAUCCUGGCCUCCGUUAGGUUGUUCGUCUUCUCGAACCAUUCUGUUUCUGGCUUAAGCAUCUCUCUUGUCUUUGGAGUUAGUAACACCUUUGCCUGUGUAUGCUUUAUGUUGAUACAAUGGCCAAGAACAAAUUAAAAGGGCAGAAGUCCAGGAAUGUAUUUCAUAUAGCCAGCCAAAGAACCUUCAAAGCUAAAAAUAAGGCAAAACCAGUUACUACUAAUCUUAAGAAGAUAAACAUUAUGAAUGAUGAAAAAGUCAACAGAAUGAACACAGCUUUUGUAAAUAUACAGAAAGAACUUGCAAACUUUUCAAAAAGCCUUUCUCUUAAAUCUGUGCAAAAAGAGCUGGAGAAUCUUGUUGAGAAGAAAACAGAAGAAAGGCGAUCAAUGAGAAAGGCAAUGGCAACAAUCCACUAUAGGUAGGAAUACAGAUGGAGUAAACUAAGAAGGUGAUGAUCAGAGGGGACAGUCUGAGUAGAAUCUGAAGGCUCUGCAAGCAGCAGUUCCUGGCAGAGAGGAGCCAAGGAUCACUCAAGGUCACCAAAGAAUAAUCAAAAGAGAAGGAAAAAAGGUAUUUGAUAGUGUCUAACUAGGAAAAUCAGUGAUCUUCUGAAAUCUAUAAACUGAAAUCUGUAGAGAUUGUGUGCCUGUAUCCACCAGCUGUAUAGUUUGAAAAUCCUUUUCUAGAACUAUUAUUUUGGCUGGCAUACAGAGAUUUCACUGUGACAUCUGUCAUUAUAGUUAAUCUGUUCCUAACUGACACCCCCGCCCCACUGCCCUCCCUCAUCUCUUGCCCUCUUGCUGUGUUCUCACAUGGUCUUUUUAUGUGUGAACUGCCCUGCUGGUUCUGUGUCUCCAAAUUUGCUGUCACAAGGAAACUGAUGAGAUUUCCUUAGGUCACAUCCUGAUAGUGUCAUUUAACUCAGCCUUCCUUUAAGAAACUACCUUCAAAUGUAGUUUCAUAUUAAUGAAUGGGGUGGAGGGCACAAGUUUUGACAAUUCAGCCUAUAUCCCCAUUAAUAAACUUGUGUUCUAUAUUACCAUAUCUUCUGGCAGACAUUUUCCUGCCUUGUUUCUAAGAAUCUGAGUACUCUUAAAUACUUCAAAUUAAAAUCAUAUAAUAGGGUCUGGAGAGAGAGAUCAGCAGUUAAUAAGAGUACUGGCUGCUCUUCCAGAGGACCUAGGUUCAAUCCCCAGGACCCACAUGAUGGCUUUCAACCAUCUGUAACUCCAAUUCCAGGGGUCUGAUGCCCUCUUCUGGCCUCUGCAGGCUCCAGGCACACAUGUAGUGCAGACAUACAUGCAGGCAAAACACUCAUACACAUAAAAUAAAAAUAAUAAUAAAAAAAAAAGAAUUGUAUAGCAUGUUUGUUUACUCAUGUAAAAUCUUCAAGGAUCAUCUCCGCAGUACAGAAUUUCUUUCUAAAACAGAAAAGCUCCUCACUGUGCCAUCUGAGUUGCCCAUCUUUUGACUAUUUGAGUAAUACCAACAUGAACAUGGAUUUUACAAAUACCUCCUAUUCCAGACCCCACUUUCAAUUCUGCAGGCAUAUACUCAGGAGUGGUGCUGUCCUAAAGCAAGUACUGAAGCCUUCCUUGCUCCAUACAUACCUCCCUAUGUCAACUACCUCAGACUCUUGUUACCUACUGAAGCUUGAGGUUGAAUACGUCCCAUCUGGGUGUGUGUGUAUCAGUUAGGUCAUUUGUUAUAUUUGUGUCUGGAUCUGGGAGAGAAGAGGCACCAAUACUUAGGUGUCAUUCAGGUAAUUGUAACUUAAGUAACCAUAAUGCAUAACAUACACAAUCCAGAUUAUGUUUGCAAAGUUCAAGAUGGCAGCAAAAUGGCAAAUAAAAUAUUGUAAAGUAUACUGAACAGGAAUUUUCAGAAUACACACCCACACUCUUUAACAGUUCAGUUAUUAAGCUACAGGAAAAUAAAACACUAUUUCUACAGAAUCUGCCAUCAGUGCCCUCCUUUUUAGACAGAUGCCCAUUGCCUACCAUGUUAGUUUUAUUCCAGAGAAGUAAAAUUUUGUAUUUUUCUUUACAAAAAGGAAUCCAUGAUACAGAGAGACACGUGAAAACUUAAAUUUUUAAGGACUACUAAAACGACAGUACAGCACAGAAAAUAAGUCUAAUGACCAAUCUCACUUGAUAGACCUAACCCAGAACUUUCCUAAAUUUAGUGUAUCAGGCUCACAAUAGGGUGAGAAUAUUAUGCUUACCAUCUACACAGUCCUGAUUAUUUUACAGCCACUCAGGAUAUUUCAUGGGAAAGUUAAUAUAUUUUUAUAUUUGUGAUUUUCACAAAAUUGGAUUCUUUUAUUAAAAAAAUUAGGUGCAAAACCUGUAUCAGUAGCUUAUACAGAAAAAUGUUCUUUCUUCAGAGUUAGAAUAAAAAAAUAAUGAAUGAGUUUUAUAAUUUUCAGAUAGAAAUGUAUUAUUAUCAGAAUAAGUCGAUCUUUAACAUGUAUUAUCAGGAUAUCUUAAUGAUAUUUCAUAAUGAUGUACUAUGAGAAACAUCACUAGGAAUGCCUCACUGUAAGUUGUUUUAUAUAUAAGAUUUUAUUUUUUAUUAAGAAAUUUUUUAUUCAUUUUACAUAACCAAUCACAGAUUCCCCUCUUCCCGCCCCUAUAUAUAAGAUUUUAUGUGUAUUUAUAUAUGUGUGUAUUUAUGUGUAUGUAUAAAUAAAAUGUUUUUCUACUUAGGAAAUAGAA
Peromyscus californicus insignis is the source of this 2958-nucleotide RNA transcript. It is a transcript of the gene named ribosomal biogenesis factor, with no coding region annotated. The record is from RefSeq and is a predicted model, not a curated record. Lineage: Eukaryota; Metazoa; Chordata; Mammalia; Rodentia; Cricetidae. The transcript is spliced from 5 exons.